RNAcentral lists this ribosomal RNA (278 nucleotides) under uncultured bacterium. Its description in RNAcentral is "partial 16S ribosomal RNA". It matches the Rfam family "Bacterial small subunit ribosomal RNA", at positions 333 to 603 of the family's 1533-position model. The record is from RNAcentral.
UGAGGCCUACGGGAGGCAGCAGUGGGGGAUAUUGCGCAAUGGGCGAAAGCCUGACGCAGCGACGCCGCGUGAGGGAUGAAGGUCUUCGGAUCGUAAACCUCUGUCAGCAGGGAAGAACGGUCACUGUGCUAAUCAGCAGUGAAUUGACGGUACCUGCAAAGGAAGCACCGGCUAACUCCGUGCCAGCAGCCGCGGUAAUACGGAGGGUGCGAGCGUUAAUCGGAAUUACUGGGCGAAAAGCGCUCGUAGGCGGGAUGUCAAGUCAAGGGUGAAGUCCC